GGGUUGUGAGGUUAAGCGACUAAGCGUACACGGUGGAUGCCCUGGCAGUCAGAGGCGAUGAAGGACGUGCUAAUCUGCGAUAAGCGUCGGUAAGGUGAUAUGAACCGUUAUAACCGGCGAUUUCCGAAUGGGGAAACCCAGUGUGUUUCGACACACUAUCAUUAACUGAAUCCAUAGGUUAAUGAGGCGAACCGGGGGAACUGAAACAUCUAAGUACCCCGAGGAAAAGAAAUCAACCGAGAUUCCCCCAGUAGCGGCGAGCGAACGGGGAGCAGCCCAGAGCCUGAAUCAGUAUGUGUGUUAGUGGAAGCGUCUGGAAAGGCGCGCGAUACAGGGUGACAGCCCCGUACACAAAAAUGCACAUGCUGUGAGCUCGAUGAGUAGGGCGGGACACGUGGUAUCCUGUCUGAAUAUGGGGGGACCAUCCUCCAAGGCUAAAUACUCCUGACUGACCGAUAGUGAACCAGUACCGUGAGGGAAAGGCGAAAAGAACCCCGGCGAGGGGAGUGAAAAAGAACCUGAAACCGUGUACGUACAAGCAGUGGGAGCACGCUUAGGCGUGUGACUGCGUACCUUUUGUAUAAUGGGUCAGCGACUUAUAUUCUGUAGCAAGGUUAACCGAAUAGGGGAGCCGAAGGGAAACCGAGUCUUAACUGGGCGUUAAGUUGCAGGGUAUAGACCCGAAACCCGGUGAUCUAGCCAUGGGCAGGUUGAAGGUUGGGUAACACUAACUGGAGGACCGAACCGACUAAUGUUGAAAAAUUAGCGGAUGACUUGUGGCUGGGGGUGAAAGGCCAAUCAAACCGGGAGAUAGCUGGUUCUCCCCGAAAGCUAUUUAGGUAGCGCCUCGUGAAUUCAUCUCCGGGGGUAGAGCACUGUUUCGGCAAGGGGGUCAUCCCGACUUACCAACCCGAUGCAAACUGCGAAUACCGGAGAAUGUUAUCACGGGAGACACACGGCGGGUGCUAACGUCCGUCGUGAAGAGGGAAACAACCCAGACCGCCAGCUAAGGUCCCAAAGUCAUGGUUAAGUGGGAAACGAUGUGGGAAGGCCCAGACAGCCAGGAUGUUGGCUUAGAAGCAGCCAUCAUUUAAAGAAAGCGUAAUAGCUCACUGGUCGAGUCGGCCUGCGCGGAAGAUGUAACGGGGCUAAACCAUGCACCGAAGCUGCGGCAGCGACGCUGAUGCGUUGUUGGGUAGGGGAGCGUUCUGUAAGCCUGCGAAGGUGUGCUGUGAGGCAUGCUGGAGGUAUCAGAAGUGCGAAUGCUGACAUAAGUAACGAUAAAGCGGGUGAAAAGCCCGCUCGCCGGAAGACCAAGGGUUCCUGUCCAACGUUAAUCGGGGCAGGGUGAGUCGACCCCUAAGGCGAGGCCGAAAGGCGUAGUCGAUGGGAAACAGGUUAAUAUUCCUGUACUUGGUGUUACUGCGAAGGGGGGACGGAGAAGGCUAUGUUGGCCGGGCGACGGUUGUCCCGGUUUAAGCGUGUAGGCUGGUUUUC
RNAcentral lists this ribosomal RNA (1497 nucleotides) under Escherichia coli. RNAcentral's name for it is "partial 23S ribosomal RNA". It matches the Rfam family "Bacterial large subunit ribosomal RNA", at positions 1 to 1533 of the family's 2925-position model. Lineage: Bacteria; Pseudomonadati; Pseudomonadota; Gammaproteobacteria; Enterobacterales; Enterobacteriaceae. The record is from RNAcentral.